This is a non-coding RNA of Arachis ipaensis, 384 nucleotides long. The record is from RefSeq and is a predicted model, not a curated record. Lineage: Eukaryota; Viridiplantae; Streptophyta; Magnoliopsida; Fabales; Fabaceae.
AUCUUCUUCUUAGGGUUGAUCCAUUUACACGUUAUAUUUUGUCACUGCUAUGGUUGCCAUGUUCUGGUUUUAAUUCUAUUUUAGUUCUUGCUUUGUCUUGAAUCCCUAGAGCUGAAAUUGCUUGUGAUUCUUAUCCAAUUUGAAUCCUCUAUUUUACUGCAACCAUAGUCAGUGUUGCGAAGGCUAAUAUUGUUGCUGUUCCGGUUGCGUAAGAGUUACCGCUGCUGCCCUGAAACUAAAAGAGAAGAGAGUUGUUACGUUAAAGUAUGCGAUUGCGACAUCGAGUGACACAGGUUUGAAGAUGCAAUAUGAAGCUGCAAGUGAUUAGUAGGCCUUCUUUACGGUUUUAAUUGCUUUCAUAGAGUCCCCUCGCUGUCGUCCCUU